RNAcentral lists this ribosomal RNA (524 nucleotides) under uncultured bacterium. Its description in RNAcentral is "partial 16S ribosomal RNA". It matches the Rfam family "Bacterial small subunit ribosomal RNA", at positions 28 to 523 of the family's 1533-position model. The record is from RNAcentral.
GACGAACGCUGGCGGCGUGCUUAACACAUGCAAGUCGAACGAGACGAUUGAAAGCUUGCUUUCGAAAGUCGAGUGGCAAACGGGUGAGUAACGCGUAGACAACCUGCCUUUGAGAUGGGGACAACAGUUCGAAAGGACUGCUAAUACCGAAUGUUGUAUAUUUUCCACAUGGAAGAUAUAUUAAAGAUGGCCUCUAUUUAUAAGCUAUCGCUCAAAGAUGGGUCUGCGUCUGAUUAGCUAGUUGGUGGGGUAACGGCCUACCAAGGCGACGAUCAGGAGCCGGUCUGAGAGGAUGAACGGCCACAUUGGGACUGAGAAACGGCCCAGACUCCUACGGGAGGCAGCAGUGGGGAAUCUUCCACAAUGGACGAAAGUCUGAUGGAGCAACGCCGCGUGAGUGAAGAAGGGUUUCGGCUCGUAAAGCUCUGUUGUCGGGGACGAAUGUGCAUUACUUGAAUAAAGUAGUGUAAUGACGGUACCUGACGAGGAAGCCACGGCUAACUACGUGCCAGCAGCCGCCGUAA